CGUACACUCCUACGGGAGGCAGCAGUGGGGAAUAUUGCACAAUGGGCGCAAGCCUGAUGCAGCCAUGCCGCGUGUGUGAAGAAGGCCUUCGGGUUGUAAAGCACUUUCAGCGGGGAGGAAGGCGAUACGGUUAAUAACCGUGUUGAUUGACGUUACCCGCAGAAGAAGCACCGGCUAACUCCGUGCCAGCAGCCGCGGUAAUACGGAGGGUGCAAGCGUUAAUCGGAAUUACUGGGCGUAAAGCGCACGCAGGCGGUCUGUCAAGUCGGAUGUGAAAUCCCCGGGCUCAACCUGGGAACUGCAUUCGAAACUGGCAGGCUUGAGUCUUGUAGAGGGGGGUAGAAUUCCAGGUGUAGCGGUGAAAUGCGUAGAGAUCUGGAGGAAUACCGGUGGCGAAGGCGGCCCCCUGGACAAAGACUGACGCUCAGGUGCGAAAGCGUGGGGAGCAAACAGGAUUAGAAACCCGAGUAGUCCCAU
This 477-nucleotide ribosomal RNA is filed under the name uncultured organism. Its description in RNAcentral is "partial 16S ribosomal RNA". It matches the Rfam family "Bacterial small subunit ribosomal RNA", at positions 330 to 798 of the family's 1533-position model. The record is from RNAcentral.